UGUGUAGCUUGAAAACAGGAAUGCAUGAGAAAGAUUGAAGGUAGAAGGACGUGGAAACCCUAUCAGAUAGGGCAAAAAAAAAAAGGAGAGAUAAAGGAAGUAAGAAAAGGAAAAGGAACGAAAGAUAGUGAGGGGAGGGGUAAGGGGGUUGGUUUUAUUAGGAAGAGGAGACGGGUUAGGGUAUGUGCGACAAUGCACAUGAGAUGAAAGGAACCCAAAUGCAAUGAAC
Molecule: long non-coding RNA, 229 nt
Filed under: Gossypium barbadense (sea-island cotton)
Lineage: Eukaryota; Viridiplantae; Streptophyta; Magnoliopsida; Malvales; Malvaceae
Description: long non-coding RNA (GBAR_LNC022966)
Source: RNAcentral